RNAcentral lists this ribosomal RNA (447 nucleotides) under uncultured bacterium. RNAcentral's name for it is "partial 16S ribosomal RNA". It matches the Rfam family "Bacterial small subunit ribosomal RNA", at positions 29 to 523 of the family's 1533-position model. The record is from RNAcentral.
AGCGAACGCUGGCGGCAGGCUUAACACAUGCAAGUCGAGCGCCCCGCGAGGGGAGCGGCAGACGGGAGAGUAACACGUGGGAACGUACCCUUUAGUUCGGAACAACCCAGGGAAACUUGGGCUAAUACCGGAUACGUCCGUAAGGAGAAAGAUUUAUCGCUAAAGGAUCGGCCCGCGUCUGAUUAGCUAGUUGGUGAGGUAACGGCUCACCAAGGCGACGAUCAGUAGCUGGUCUGAGAGGAUGAUCAGCCUCACUGGGACUGAGACACGGCCCAGACUCCUACGGGAGGCAGCAGUGGGGAAUAUUGGACAAAGGGCGCAAGCCUGAUCCAGCCAUGCCGCGUGGGUGAUGAAGGCCCUAGGGUUGUAAGGCCCUUUCGGCGGGGAAGAUAAUGACGGUACCCGCAGAAUAAGCACCGGCUAACUCCGUGCCAGCCGCCGCCGUAA